AUACUUACCUAGCAGGGGCGAUACUAUGAUCACGAAGGUGGUUCACCCAGGGUGAGGCUCUGCCAUUGCACUUGGGUGGUGCUGACCCUUGCGAAUUCCCCAAAUGCGGGAAUCUC
This is a small nuclear RNA of 116 nucleotides. Its record names the gene U1. It matches the Rfam family "U1 spliceosomal RNA". Rfam says of the family: U1 is a small nuclear RNA (snRNA) component of the spliceosome (involved in pre-mRNA splicing). Its 5' end forms complementary base pairs with the 5' splice junction, thus defining the 5' donor site of an intron. The record is from Ensembl.